GAUGAACGCUAGCUACAGGCUUAACACAUGCAAGUCGAGGGACCGGCGCACGGGUGAGUAACACGUAUCCAACCUGCCCUUUACUCGGGGAUAGCCUUUCGUAAGAAAGACUAAUACCCGAUGUAAAGGAUGGGGAUGCGUUCCUUUAGGUUGUUGGGGAGGUAACGGCGCACCAAGCCUUCGAUGGAUAGGGGUUCGGAGAGGAAGGUCCCGCACAUUGGGACUGAGACACGGGCCAAACGCCUACGGGAAGCAGCAGUGAGGAAUAUUGGUCAAUGGGCGUUAGCCUGAACCAGCCAAGUAGCGUGAAGGAUGAAGGCUUAUGGGUCGUAAACUUCUUUUAUAUAAGAAUAUGUAUUAUAUGAAUAAGGAUCGGCUAACUACGUGCCAGCGGCCGCGGUAAUU
RNAcentral lists this ribosomal RNA (405 nucleotides) under uncultured bacterium. Its description in RNAcentral is "partial 16S ribosomal RNA". It matches the Rfam family "Bacterial small subunit ribosomal RNA", at positions 28 to 525 of the family's 1533-position model. The record is from RNAcentral.